This 921-nucleotide ribosomal RNA is filed under the name Cortinarius carneipallidus. RNAcentral's name for it is "eukaryotic LSU rRNA". It matches the Rfam family "Eukaryotic large subunit ribosomal RNA", at positions 56 to 964 of the family's 3401-position model. The record is from RNAcentral. Lineage: Eukaryota; Fungi; Basidiomycota; Agaricomycetes; Agaricales; Cortinariaceae.
GAAGACUAACAAGGAUUCCCCUAGUAACUGCGAGUGAAGCGGGAAAAGCUCAAAUUUAAAAUCUGUCAGUCUUUGGCUGUCCGAGUUGUAAUCUAGAGAAGUGUUAUCCGCGCUGGACCGUGUACAAGUCUCCUGGAAUGGAGCGUCAUAGAGGGUGAGAAUCCCGUCUUUGACACGGACUGCCAGGGCUUUGUGAUGCGCUCUCAAAGAGUCGAGUUGUUUGGGAAUGCAGCUCAAAAUGGGUGGUAAAUUCCAUCUAAAGCUAAAUAUUGGCGAGAGACCGAUAGCGAACAAGUACCGUGAGGGAAAGAUGAAAAGAACUUUGGAAAGAGAGUUAAACAGUACGUGAAAUUGCUGAAAGGGAAACGCUUGAAGUCAGUCGCGUUGACCAGGGAUCAACCCUUGCUUUUGCUUGGUGUACUUUCUGGUUGACGGGUCAGCAUCAAUUUUGACUAUUGGAAAAAGAUCAGGGGAAUGUGGCAUCUUUGGAUGUGUUAUAGCCUCUGGUUGUAUACAAUGGUUGGGAUUGAGGAACUCAGCACGCGCCGCAAGGCCGGGUUUUUAACCACGUACGUGCUUAGGAUGCUGGCAUAAUGGCUUUAAUCGACCCGUCUUGAAACACGGACCAAGGAGUCUAACAUGCCUGCAAGUGUUUGGGUGGAAAACCCGAGCGCGUAAUGAAAGUGAAAGUUGAGAUCCCUGUCGUGGGGAGCAUCGACGCCCGGACCAGAUCUUUUGUGACGGUUCCGCGGUAGAGCAUGUAUGUUGGGACCCGAAAGAUGGUGAACUAUGCCUGAAUAGGGUGAAGCCAGAGGAAACUCUGGUGGAGGCUCGUAGCGAUUCUGACGUGCAAAUCGAUCGUCAAAUUUGGGUAUAGGGGCGAAAGACUAAUCGAACCAUCUAGUAGCUGGUUCCUGCCGA